This is a long non-coding RNA of Sinocyclocheilus anshuiensis, 2212 nucleotides long. Ensembl annotates it as CD44 antigen-like. Lineage: Eukaryota; Metazoa; Chordata; Actinopteri; Cypriniformes; Cyprinidae. The record is from Ensembl.
AGCGUGAGAGACAAUGACAAGGGUGUGUUCUUCAUAGCACCACCCAUCAUGUGGAGUGUGUCACCGAGUACUUUAGUCUGAGCAUAUAAAAGAGGUGAGAUACAUCUCUAGAGGGUUCAGAAAAUUACAAAGACUGGAAGAGAAUCAAAGCAUUUUAAGAACCAUACCGGUUCAGGGCCAACAAACAGGUAUACUUCCCUUUAUCUAGCACAUGACACAGCACUGAACAUGUGGACUUUGUUACUUGUAUUUGCUACUGGAUCACCAGCUCUACUUCAGGCUGCACCUGUUCAGGGUUCCAGUGGCAGAUGCAGCGUUGCCGGUGUUUUCCUUGUUGAGGGAACCAGCCGUUACUCUCUUACUUUCCAACAAGCUUUGGAAUUGUGUCAGAGUUUUGAUUACAAACUCGCAACACAGGAACAGGUCAAUGACGCUUAUAAAAAAGGCUUGAGAACAUGCAGAUUUGGCUGGCUAGAUGGACAAAAUGUCAUGUUCCUCCCACACGUUAAUGGUCCAAACUGUGACUCCAGUUCCACCGAGAUCACCUUCCAUCCUGAAGCAGCAGGGUAUCUUUCUGAUGUCUACUGCUUUAACCCAUCAGAUGCAUCACUAAACUGUGAAGAUACUGGUAAAUCUAACUCUGAAGACUUAACCAAUGGAAACACAGCCACAGCAAAUGAAAAAUCACAUGAAGACAUUCUUACGGAGGUCGAGACUGAAGGCUUUCUAGUAGAUGUGGAGGAGAUAAUGGGAAGAGUAAAAAGAGAAACUUCUGUUCUGAAUGACAUGGAGGUCCCCGUGAAAUCCUCAACUGUGCAUGCCUUGGAGGAACCCUCUACAACGACACACAGUGAAGACAGCAAGGGCCCUACAAGCAAGCCCCGUUUUGUGAAGAGCUCAUCCCCUGUUACCUCCAGUGUUUUGUUCUCUGAUACAGAGGGCAGUGGAUCAGCAUCAGAUAAUGAGACAUUGUUUACAGAUCCUGAGCCUAGUCUAUUCACAAUAACAAUGACUGCCACAGAGGCAGCUGAGAGUACAUCCAUGCCAAAUGAAAUUAAGAAAACUCCAAUUGUUGUAAUCAAAGGUCGAAAAAUGGAAGCCAGUCUUGAAGGCACACAGAGUGGCCAAGAAAAGAAAGAUGGACCAUCUACUUUGCUGAUAAUCUUUGCAUUCUGUGUUGUUGUUGGAGUCAUAGUAUGCAUACUUGUUGCUAUUGCUACUAGAGACAAGUGGUACGGACCGAGACAGAGCGGAAACAUCACAAGUGAAGAGCACAACAAAGACUACAGUAAAUCAGAAACACUGCCUCUGUCAGAGAAAGAACAGGAGAUCGUGGCACUGAUGAGUGUUGAGAAGCUGAAGAAUGGUAAAAUGGAGGACAUUGCUGCCUGUCUGGAUGAGCGUGAGAAAGAGUAUUUAAUGUAAUGCUUUAAAUCCUGUGUAUUAACAGGUUCGAACUCUUUUGUACUUUUUAUUUGCACUAGUGAUGUUUUUUUUAAUGAUUUUUUAAUGCAAUUUCCUUCCGUUUUUGUUGCUUCAAAAUGCUUCGUAUUUCACAUUUCUUUUCUAAUAUAAAGUAUUUUUUUUCUCAGUAAUAAAUAAAGGCUUAUUAUCUCUUACUGAAUGAUGGUUAAUAAUGAUAUGGUGAGAAAACAUUUUUAUACUGGUUUUCAUCUGUUCGUAAGUACUAUGUACUGUGUGAGAUAUGAUGCAUUUUUGAAUGUUAGACAUUGCCCUUUAUAAGAAACCCUAUGCAGUUUGUAAUGCAAUGAAGCAAUUGUAAAUCAUUUCAUUUUUUAAAUUACCCAUAAAGAUGUAUUUUGUCAAGCUCUCAGAGCACAUUUAUGGUGGGAUGAGUCUUUCAAUAAAACAUGACAUUUGAACAAGGUAUGAGAACUUUAAUUAGUUCAGUUAUAGAAGCUGGAUGUAAAAAUGAAUGAGUGUGAUUUAAAAUCAUAUGAUAAAUACAAUUUACCCUUUUACAUUUUAUUUAUUUAUUUAUUGUGCAUCACUGCCAAAGAUCUGGAGAAAGAAAGAAACGCCACUGAGACAAGAAGCAUUGACUUUAUUUACAUUUUGUUAUAGGUUUUUCAUAGAAAAAUAGAGGAAAAAGACAAGAUCGUGUUGCUAUGGAAGUAAUAACAGACUACCAAAUAAGUGGUGCAAAUGUAAUAAUAGAUCUCAAUUCUGACAUCUCUUUUCUGUUACAUGC